AUUGAACGCUGGCGGCAGGCCUAACACAUGCAAGUCGAGCGGAUGAAGGGAGCUUGCUCCUGGAUUCAGCGGCGGACGGGUGAGUAAUGCCUAGGAAUCUGCCUGGUAGUGGGGGAUAACGUCCGGAAACGGGCGCUAAUACCGCAUACGUCCUGAGGGAGAAAGUGGGGGAUCCUCGGACCUCACGCUAUCAGAUGAGCCUAGGUCGGAUUAGCUAGUUGGUGGGGUAAAGGCCUACCAAGGCGACGAUCCGUAACUGGUCUGAGAGGAUGAUCAGUCACACUGGAACUGAGACACGGUCCAGACUCCUACGGGAGGCAGCAGUGGGGAAUAUUGGACAAUGGGCGAAAGCCUGAUCCAGCCAUGCCGCGUGUGUGAAGAAGGUCUUCGGAUUGUAGAGCACUUUAAGUUGGGAGGAAGGGCAGUAAGUUAAUACCUUGCUGUUUUGACGUUACCAACAGAAUAAGCACCGGCUAACUUCGUG
Molecule: ribosomal RNA, 484 nt
Filed under: uncultured bacterium
Lineage: Bacteria
Description: partial 16S ribosomal RNA
Rfam family: Bacterial small subunit ribosomal RNA
Source: RNAcentral